ACGUCAUAACUGUUGCCGAAUCAAUUUUGUUGUCUGUUGCAAAUCAAGAAAAAAAAUUAACGUGUGAUGAAAAUAAUGUUGAAGAUACGACAGAUGUUACCGUGUCAGGUGAUGGCACGUGGAAAAAACGUGGGUUUGCAUCAUUAUACGGUAUGAAUCUGUCAUGAGUUAUCCUGACUACGCCGAGAGAACUUUUUUUUGAGGGGUCAUAGCAGACGACGUGUCCACGCCUUAAUUUUCAAUAUUUUUCAAUGAAAAUUUCACAAACUACUUAUAAAAUAUGUAUCUUUUAUGUGUUAAAUUGAUGGAAUGAAAUAUUCUGUUGAUUAAGUAAAAAAAAAUUCAUAAAAAUGUA
This 355-nucleotide long non-coding RNA is filed under the name Neodiprion lecontei (redheaded pine sawfly). RNAcentral describes it as "uncharacterized LOC124292888". The record is from RNAcentral. Lineage: Eukaryota; Metazoa; Arthropoda; Insecta; Hymenoptera; Diprionidae.